CUCAGGACAGAGCAGACUAUGCUGACAGUUUUCUGGCAGCUGCUUUUGCGUCUCACCUGGCUGCUGGACAUAGGAGUUCACGAGCAUUUCCUGGGUGACUGCCAGGGAGCUGUUGUGGGUUUGGGGGUGACUCCCAGGAGCUUACACAUGAAUGGAUAGGGUUUCUCUCUCUGCCACCCAGGCCAGAGUGCAGUUGACGCAGGGCAGGGGAGCCCUGAAAUGGAGCAUAGUGUGUCUGGAACUGGUGGGUUCUUGGUCUCACUGACUUCAAGAAUGAAGCCACGGACCCUUGCGGUAGAAGUUGCUGGUCCCAUCUUGCUCACAAUCCUCCAAAGUUUGGAAGUUACUUUCCAGGAGACUUAGCUUGCACUGACAGCUGCCCUCCCACCCUCUCUCCAAAUUUCCUCUUGGGGGUAGCCUAACAAGUUGCUGUCACAGACCCUUGCCAGCCACGAUGACCCCACCCAGACCAUUCCUCUGCUGUUUCACUCUUUGAUACUCUGGAGCUCUCUGGGGAGGGGUGAGACCUGCUGUCUGGUUUGUAUGGUUUGCCCAGGUCUUACAGUCAUGGCUGGCUGCCUCUCUCUGAGAACUGGGACUCCUGAACUUGGUGAAAUACUUCAGCCAUCGAUCAUGUUAAAUUAUUGGGGACACUCAUUUAAAAUCCGAGUCUGCUCCAGAUGGACUCUCUCUCUUUCUGCCCAGACCGUGAGAGAGAGACCGUGAGAGAGAGAAAGAGAGAGAGAGAGAGACCGUGUCCUGACCUGCUGGACGGUGGAGAUGCUCGUGGGCUGUGAGCAACAGAUGCAAAGGCUGCCGGGAGUCCCAUCUUUCCAGCAUCAUCUGCCAAAGCACAUCAGUUCCUGGGUGUCUUGAUGGGUUCUGGCAGCAUUACUGUCAUUGAAGGAAAACAUUUUAGCCAUAUUAAAGGUGAAUGCAGCAAUCCCCACACAGGCUGCCUGGAAGGGACGCGGGACAAGGGUAGGUUUUCUCUGUGAUGGACAGGAGGCAGGCGGCCCUCCGACAGCCCUGCCUGGCAAUACAGAUGUGUUCCAAAAAGGCACUGGAGGUCAGCUGGAGUGCUGUGCCAAGGCGGGCUCACCCAGGCCGUGGGUUCGCUCUGAUUGCAGCGGUUUCCCACCAGCUCCUUGGAGAGCUGGCAGAUGACCCAGCCCCACGGCAGGAGCUGUGAAUAGCAGAAUGAGAUGCAACAAUUUGAUAUCCACUUGCCAGAUGAGCCGGGUGUCGUCAGUCGCCUGGCUCUGCGCCAACCUCUUUUUGCACAAACACUUAUGAAUUCAGCCAGGAGGAAAAGCACUCUGAUUAUGAAUUGAGCAGAAAGAAACAAAGUUCUGCAGAUAAACACCAAUGAGACAAAAAACCACGAAUAAGAAAAAUGACAGAAAAGGAGAACCUUCCCAGAAGCCUCCUGCCAGUGAACGGCCACCAUAGCAAGAGCAUGGAGGCCCUGGGUUUUGAAAUGUGAGAUAAGGAAGAUGAUGAAAACCUCCCUAGCAGCCAGGCAAGCACAAGAUUCCUGUGAAAUCCAGAUCUAAUCGUUUUGACCACAGAAGUAAUAUGUCAUAGAUGAGAGCUGUGAGUUGCUGAACCCAAAGUGAGUUCAAAUCCGAGCUCUGCCUCCUGCUACCUGUGUGACUUUGAGAAGUUCCAGCACUGCUUUGUGCCUCAGUUUUGUCAUCUGUUAAAUGGGCAUAAUCACAGCUCUUGCCUCAGAGUUGUUGUAAAUUAAUGCAUGUAAAGCACUGAAAUCAUCCUGGUAUACAGUAAUUGUUAUGAACGUUAUUUUCUUGGAAGGACAGAACUUAUUUUCAUGGUCUAAUCCUAAAAGUCUAAAAAAUGUGAGAGAAGAGGAAAGAAUCUAGAGUCUCACCAUGAGGGGGAAAAGUAAACUUGAAGCAGGACAGGGUCAUUGGCAAUUCCUGUGAUUCUACAGCUGCCUUGUACACUAUGGUAGCUCCCAGCCACUUGUUGUUUAGAUUUUGUGAUUUAGAAAUGAAUUAAGGACGGGCAUGGUGGCUUACACCUGUAAUCCCAGCAUUUUGGGAGGCCAAGUUGGGCAGAUCACCUGAGGUCAGGUGUUCAAGAUCAGCCUGGCCAACAUGGUGAAAUCUCGUCUCUACAAAAAUACAAAAAUUAGCCGGGCAUGAUGGCGCGUUCCUGUAAUCCUGGCUACUCAGGAGGCUGAGGCAGGAAAACUGCUUGAACUCGGGAGAUGGAGGUUGCAGUGAGAUGAGAUUGCACCACUGCACUACAGCCUGGAGGACAGAGUGAGACUCUGUCUC
This is a long non-coding RNA of Gorilla gorilla gorilla (western lowland gorilla), 2303 nucleotides long. RefSeq lists it as uncharacterized. NCBI's taxonomy places the organism in Eukaryota, Metazoa, Chordata, Mammalia, Primates, Hominidae. The record is from RefSeq and is a predicted model, not a curated record. The transcript has 3 exons.